This 1197-nucleotide ribosomal RNA is filed under the name Triticum aestivum (bread wheat). Its description in RNAcentral is "partial small subunit ribosomal RNA". The record is from RNAcentral. Lineage: Eukaryota; Viridiplantae; Streptophyta; Magnoliopsida; Poales; Poaceae.
AUGGCAACCACCCUCGCCACUGACGUUCGCCUCUCCAUUGCGCACCAGACCCGCUUUGCCUUCCGCCUCGCCUCCGCUAUCUCAUCCAACCCCGAGUCUACUGUCAACAAUGCCGCAUUCUCUCCAGUCUCCCUCCAUGUCGCGCUAAGCCUCAUCACCGCUGGCGCGGGGGGCGCCACCCGCAACCAACUCGCCGCUACACUGGGGGAAGGCGAGGUUGAGGGACUCCACGCACUCGCCGAGCAGGUGGUGCAGUUCGUCCUCGCCGACGCGUCCAACAUCGGCGGCCCGCGCGUCGCCUUCGCCAACGGCGUCUUCGUGGACGCGUCGCUGCAGCUCAAGCCAUCCUUCCAGGAGCUCGCAGUGUGCAAGUACAAGGCCGAGGCCCAGUCCGUGGACUUCCAAACUAAGGCCGCGGAAGUUACUGCUCAAGUGAACUCAUGGGUAGAGAAAGUCACAACCGGUCUCAUCAAAGAUAUUCUCCCCGCCGGAUCUAUUGACAAUACCACUAGACUUGUUCUUGGCAAUGCCCUUUAUUUCAAAGGAGCUUGGACAGAUCAGUUUGAUCCACGUGCAACACAAAGCGACGACUUCUACCUUCUUGAUGGGAGCUCAAUUCAAACACCAUUCAUGUACAGCUCAGAAGAACAAUACAUUUCUUCUUCUGAUGGCUUGAAGGUGCUUAAGCUUCCUUACAAGCAAGGUGGGGACAAGAGGCAGUUCUCCAUGUACAUCCUUCUCCCAGAAGCACUAAGUGGUCUCUGGAGCUUGGCAGAAAAGUUGAGUGCCGAACCAGAGUUCCUGGAGCAGCAUAUCCCAAGGCAGAAGGUUGCACUCAGGCAAUUCAAGCUCCCCAAGUUCAAGAUAUCCUUGGGAAUUGAAGCAUCUGAUUUGCUCAAAGGUUUGGGUCUGCAACUUCCAUUCGGUGCUGAAGCAGAUCUUUCGGAGAUGGUGGAUUCCCCAAUGGCACAGAACCUCUACAUCUCAUCCAUUUUUCACAAAGCAUUUGUCGAAGUGAAUGAAACAGGAACUGAGGCUGCAGCAACAACUAUUGCUAAAGUAGUCCUGCGACAAGCACCGCCGCCCUCGGUCUUGGAUUUCAUCGUGGAUCACCCUUUCCUCUUCCUUAUCCGGGAAGACACUUCCGGUGUGGUUCUAUUCAUCGGUCAUGUGGUCAAUCCCCUCCUAUCUUCGUAA